CAAGUCGAACGGGACUUUAUUUGUAGCAAUACCGAUAAAGUUCAGUGGCGUAAGGGUGCGUAACACGUGGGCAAUCUGCCCUGAAGCGCGGGAUAGCUUGGCGAAAGCCAAAUUAAUACCGCAUGUGGCUAUUGGAGGAGUCUCCGGGAUGCUAAAGACGGCGCAAGCUGUCACUUCAGGAUGAGCCCGCGGCCUAUCAGCUAGUUGGUGAGGUAACGGCUCACCAAGGCUAUGACGGGUAGCUGGUCUGAGAGGACGACCAGCCACACUGGAACUGAGACACGGUCCAGACACCUACGGGUGGCAGCAGUCGAGAAUUUUUCUCAAUGGGGGAAACCCUGAAGGAGCGACGCCGCGUGGAGGAUGAAGGUUUUCGGAUUGUAAACUCCUGUCAUUUGGGAACAAACCUUUCAUUUAACUGAUGGAAGACUGAUAGUACCAGAAGAGGAAGAGACGGCUAACUCUGUGCCAGCAGCCGCGGUAAUACAGAGGUCUCAACCGUUGUUCGGAUUCAUUGGGCGUAAAGGGUGCGUAGGCGGUCGCGCAAGUCGGAUGUGAAAUCUCAGGGCUCAACCCUGAAACUGCAUUCGAUACUGCGUGGCUAGAGUGCUGGAGAGGAGACUGGAAUUUACGGUGUAGCAGUGAAAUGCGUAGAUAUCGUAAGGAAGACCAGUGGCGAAGGCGAGUCUCUGGACAGCAACUGACGCUGAGGCACGAAGGCCAGGGGAGCAAACGGGAUUAGAUACCCCGGUAGUCCUGGCAGUAAACGGUGCACGUUUGGUGUAGGCGGAUUCGACCCCGCCUGUGCCGGAGCUAACGCGUUAAACGUGCCGCCUGGGAAGUACGGUCGCAAGAUUAAAACUCAAAGAAAUUGACGGGGGCCCGCACAAGCGGUGGA
RNAcentral lists this ribosomal RNA (898 nucleotides) under uncultured Verrucomicrobiota bacterium. RNAcentral describes it as "bacterial SSU rRNA". It matches the Rfam family "Bacterial small subunit ribosomal RNA", at positions 58 to 936 of the family's 1533-position model. Lineage: Bacteria; Pseudomonadati; Verrucomicrobiota. The record is from RNAcentral.